UACGAAGGGGGCUAGCGUUGCUCGGAAUUACUGGGCGUAAAGCGCACGUAGGCGGAUUGUUAAGUCAGGGGUGAAAUCCCGAGGCUCAACCUCGGAACUGCCUUUGAUACUGGCGAUCUUUGAGUCCGGGAGAGGUGAGUGGAACUCCGAGUGUAGAGGUGAAAUUCGUAGAUAUUCGGAAGAACACCAGUGGCGAAGGCGGCUCACUGGCCCGGUACUGACGCUUAAGAGCGAAAGCGUGGGGAGCAAACAGG
This 254-nucleotide ribosomal RNA is filed under the name uncultured bacterium. RNAcentral's name for it is "partial 16S ribosomal RNA". It matches the Rfam family "Bacterial small subunit ribosomal RNA", at positions 524 to 776 of the family's 1533-position model. The record is from RNAcentral.